This 86-nucleotide transfer RNA is filed under the name Microbacterium elymi. Its description in RNAcentral is "Microbacterium sp. KUDC0405 tRNA-Leu". It matches the Rfam family "tRNA". From Rfam's summary of the family: Transfer RNA (tRNA) molecules are approximately 80 nucleotides in length. Lineage: Bacteria; Bacillati; Actinomycetota; Actinomycetes; Micrococcales; Microbacteriaceae. The record is from RNAcentral. RNAcentral also lists the same sequence under 1 other name.
GCCGGUGUGGCGGAAUGGCAGACGCGACCGACUCAAAAUCGGUUGCCCGCAAGGGCGUGUGGGUUCGAGUCCCACCACCGGCACCA